This 465-nucleotide ribosomal RNA is filed under the name Vreelandella stevensii. Its description in RNAcentral is "partial 16S ribosomal RNA". It matches the Rfam family "Bacterial small subunit ribosomal RNA", at positions 338 to 795 of the family's 1533-position model. The record is from RNAcentral. Lineage: Bacteria; Pseudomonadati; Pseudomonadota; Gammaproteobacteria; Oceanospirillales; Halomonadaceae.
CCUACGGGAGGCUGCAGUGGGGAAUAUUGGACAAUGGGGGGAACCCUGAUCCAGCCAUGCCGCGUGUGUGAAGAAGGCCCUCGGGUUGUAAAGCACUUUCAGUGAGGAAGAACGCCUGGUGGUUAAUACCCAUCAGGAAAGACAUCACUCACAGAAGAAGCACCGGCUAACUCCGUGCCAGCAGCCGCGGUAAUACGGAGGGUGCGAGCGUUAAUCGGAAUUACUGGGCGUAAAGCGCGCGUAGGUGGCUUGAUAAGCCGGUUGUGAAAGCCCCGGGCUCAACCUGGGAACGGCAUCCGGAACUGUCAAGCUAGAGUGCAGGAGAGGAAGGUAGAAUUCCCGGUGUAGCGGUGAAAUGCGUAGAGAUCGAGAGGAAUACCAGUGGCGAAGGCGGCCUUCUGGACUGACACUGACACUGAGGUGCGAAAGCGUGGGUAGCAAACAGGAUUAGAUACCCUUGUAGUC